GGAGUCGGUCAGGCAGCCGCUGCCGGUCAUUGACCGGGGGAGGAAAGUCCGGGCUUCGCAGGGCAGGAUGCUGGCUAACGGCCAGGCGCUAUACGCCGCAAGGCCAAGGCGACGGAAAGUGCAGCAGAGAAAAGACCGCCGAUGGCUCCGUUCGCGGAAGAUCAGGCAAGGGUGAAACGGCGAGGUAAAAGCUCACCGCAGGACUGGCGACAGGACUGGCAUGGCAAACCCCAUCCGAAGCAAGACCAAAUAGGGAAGCAUACGGCGUUGCCCGCGCCGCUUCCGGGUAGGUCGCUGGAGCCGCG
RNAcentral lists this RNase P RNA (305 nucleotides) under Zoogloeaceae bacterium. RNAcentral describes it as "partial RNase P RNA component class A". It matches the Rfam family "Bacterial RNase P class A", at positions 1 to 289 of the family's 367-position model. Rfam says of the family: Ribonuclease P (RNase P) is a ubiquitous endoribonuclease, found in archaea, bacteria and eukarya as well as chloroplasts and mitochondria. Its best characterised activity is the generation of mature 5'-ends of tRNAs by cleaving the 5'-leader elements of precursor-tRNAs. Cellular RNase Ps are ribonucleoproteins. The record is from RNAcentral. Lineage: Bacteria; Pseudomonadati; Pseudomonadota; Betaproteobacteria; Rhodocyclales; Zoogloeaceae.